Melozone crissalis (California towhee) is the source of this 411-nucleotide non-coding RNA. The record is from the annotation of a RefSeq genome assembly. Lineage: Eukaryota; Metazoa; Chordata; Aves; Passeriformes; Passerellidae.
GUGGCCGUGACCCUGCUGGAGUGCGGGGGGCACCUCCAGCCCCCCGGGGGUUCCCUGCGCCUCCUCUGCCGAGGCUCCGGGUUCAGUUUUGGGAGUUACCCCAUGUACUGGGUGCGCCAGAGACCGGGCCAGGGGCUGGAAUGGUUCACGCGCAUCUACAGCAAUGGUGGCUACACCUAUGACGCGCCAUCGGUCAAAGGCCAGGUCACAAUCUCCAGGGACAACGGGCAGAGCUCGGUGACGCUGACCAAGAACAACCUCAAGGACGAGGAUUCCAGAUCCUAUUUCUGUGCCAAGGGUGCUGAUGCUUAUACCUGGAAUGCUGCUGCUUAUGGUGAAGACCCCAGUGGUGGAUCCACUCACCCAUCUCAGUGUCCCCACCUCUCCCCAAACCCCCAACAAUUCACCUAA